Molecule: long non-coding RNA, 362 nt
Filed under: Vigna radiata
Lineage: Eukaryota; Viridiplantae; Streptophyta; Magnoliopsida; Fabales; Fabaceae
Description: long non-coding RNA (VRAD_LNC007959)
Source: RNAcentral
UAUUCGGUUACAUGCAACCGAUAUUCGAUUCCAGGAUUAGGAAGGAUUUUUAUUUGGUUCUCAAGCAUUGUAUUCGAUGAAAAUUAAGGAUAUGUAAUGUUGAUUUUGCUGAACAUGGUGAUUUUGUUGGUGGUUGUCAUGAAAAUUGAGGAUGGUGGAGUUUCAGAAGUGAGAAUGGUGUGGGGGGAGAGAGGAAUAAUUAAAGUGUUUAUCUCAAGGGUUUGUGUGAGAGAGGAUGAGAUUAAUGUAGACAUUGACGAAGACAUUCUAUGUGUUUUUGUUUUUGGUUGUGGUUGUUUUUUAUUGCCCUCUGUUGUUGCUUGCAUGAAAUACUGGGAAAUGUUCUUAACUUUGCAUACACG